RNAcentral lists this ribosomal RNA (460 nucleotides) under uncultured bacterium. Its description in RNAcentral is "partial 16S ribosomal RNA". It matches the Rfam family "Bacterial small subunit ribosomal RNA", at positions 338 to 795 of the family's 1533-position model. The record is from RNAcentral.
CCUACGGGUGGCAGCAGUGAGGAAUAUUGGUCAAUGGGCGAGAGCCUGAACCAGCCAAGUCGCGUGAAGGAUGACGGCCCUACGGGUUGUAAACUUCUUUUGUCAGGGAGCAAUUGGGUCCACGCGUGGGCUUAGCGAGAGUACCUGAAGAAAAAGCAUCGGCUAACUCCGUGCCACGAGCCGCGGUAAUACGGGGGAUGCGAGGGUUAUCCGGAUGUAUUGGGUUUAAAGGGUGCGUAGGCGGACGAUCAAGUCAGCGGUAAAAGUUCGGGGCUCAACCCCGUCGUGCCGUUGAAACUGAUGUUCUUGAGUGGGCGAGAAGUAGGCGGAAUGCGUGGUGUAGCGGUGAAAUGCAUAGAUAGCACGCAGAACUCCGAUUGCGAAGGCAGCAUACCGGCGCCCAACUGACGCUGAGGCACGAAAGCGUGGGUAUCGAACAGGAUUAGAUACCCCGGUAGUC